GGAGCAUUUCGAUGCCUGCUCUAUACUGGUAAUUUUCGCUGGGAAGCAAGUAAUGAGAGGGCCGAGAUAGGAAGGAACACGCUCGUCAAAGCUUUAAAAGAUGAUGUAGUAUAACACAUUGCAAUCCAUCAUAUGCUUUUCCUUCACAACUAGUUGCAGCUCAACAGGUACACUUUUUAAAUUUCUCAUCUACGUUAUCUUUACUUUUUUUUUGUUAAUUUAAAACCCCCAGGAUGGUGGGGGGCUUAGGCAGGAUCCCUACUUAUAAUAUAAAUCCGAAAAUGGUACAAGUACAAAGGAGGGGGACAACGACUAAUAUCUCCUAGAAAAAUUGAAAGGAAAAGAUAAAAGAACUAAAAGAAGACAAAUGGACGACAGAAACGCAGCGCCCACUGCCGUUUCACGAGUUUCCUUUGUCUUCUUUUAGUUCCGCGUGGGACCAUAAUAAAUAAUAAAAUAAAGAAUCCUAACAUAUAUAAAACACAUUUAGAAAUUGUCAUAAUUUAUUCCAUUAUUUCCAGCCAUUUAAAUUAAGAAAAAUCCUAACAUAUAUAAAACACAUUCAAAAAUUGUUAUAAUUUAUUCCAUUAUUUCCAGCCAUUUAAAUUAAAAAAAAUCCUAACAUAUAUAAAACACAUUCAGAAAUCGUUAUAAUUUAUUCCAUUAUUUCCACCCAUUUAAAUUAAAAAAAUCAUAACAAUUUAAAUAUAUAAAAAAACAAAAAUCUACGAAUUUUUACAAUUUAAAUUAAAUAUUCUAACCAUUUAAAUAUAUAGAGCACAACAAAAAUUUUAUUUGAAUGUAAUGAGAGUCACCAACUUACCAAUUAAUCAGUACCAAUUUUAUCAAGUUGCCUCUGUUUGCAGAUCCAGAUAUAACUUCUUCCUUGUGAUAAGCGAGAUGCAAAGAGGGAACCGAUUUUUCCUUGUUAAAUGUAGAUGACUCACGUUAAAUGAGAGGUGAGAGAUGGAGAGAGAGAAGACAACAAGAAAAAUCGGAACUAAAAAAGUGCUGCUAUUGUCAUCUCUUUU
RNAcentral lists this long non-coding RNA (1031 nucleotides) under Citrus maxima (pomelo). RNAcentral's name for it is "long non-coding RNA (CMAX_LNC000674)". The record is from RNAcentral. Lineage: Eukaryota; Viridiplantae; Streptophyta; Magnoliopsida; Sapindales; Rutaceae.